Molecule: ribosomal RNA, 220 nt
Filed under: uncultured bacterium
Lineage: Bacteria
Description: partial 16S ribosomal RNA
Rfam family: Bacterial small subunit ribosomal RNA
Source: RNAcentral
UAAUGUAUGGGGAUCUGCCCGAUAGAGGGGAAUAACUACUGGAAACGGUGGCUAAUACCGCAUAAUGUCUACGGACCAAAGCAGGGGCUCUUCGGACCUUGCACUAUCGGAUGAACCCAUAUGGGAUUAGCUAGUAGGUGGGGUAAAGGCUCACCUAGGCGACGAUCUCUAGCAGGUCUGAGAGGAUGAUCAGCCACACUGGGACUGAGACACGGCCCAG